RNAcentral lists this ribosomal RNA (196 nucleotides) under uncultured Vibrio sp. RNAcentral describes it as "partial 16S ribosomal RNA". It matches the Rfam family "Bacterial small subunit ribosomal RNA", at positions 335 to 523 of the family's 1533-position model. Lineage: Bacteria; Pseudomonadati; Pseudomonadota; Gammaproteobacteria; Vibrionales; Vibrionaceae. The record is from RNAcentral.
ACUCCUACGGGGGGCAGCAGUGGGGAAUAUUGCACAAUGGGCGCAAGCCUGAUGCAGCCAUGCCGCGUGUAUGAAGAGGGCCUUCGGGUUGUAAAGUACUUUCAGCAGUGAGGAAGGCGGAGUCGUUAAUAGCGGCCUCGUUUGACGUUAGCUGCAGAAGAAGCACCGGCUAACUCCGUGCCAGCAGCCGCGGUAA